UGGCUUAGAUGGUAAAGCAUCUGCCUGCAAUGCAGGAGACCUGAGUUCAAUCCCAG
RNAcentral lists this transfer RNA (56 nucleotides) under Ovis aries (sheep). It matches the Rfam family "tRNA", at positions 8 to 63 of the family's 71-position model. From Rfam's summary of the family: Transfer RNA (tRNA) molecules are approximately 80 nucleotides in length. Their secondary structure includes four short double-helical elements and three loops (D, anti-codon, and T loops). Lineage: Eukaryota; Metazoa; Chordata; Mammalia; Artiodactyla; Bovidae. The record is from Rfam by way of RNAcentral.